Molecule: ribosomal RNA, 2553 nt
Filed under: Enterobacter cloacae
Lineage: Bacteria; Pseudomonadati; Pseudomonadota; Gammaproteobacteria; Enterobacterales; Enterobacteriaceae
Description: bacterial LSU rRNA
Rfam family: Bacterial large subunit ribosomal RNA
Source: RNAcentral
CACAGGUUGUGAACUCGAAGAGUAGGGCGGGACACGUGGUAUCCUGUCUGAAUAUGGGGGGACCAUCCUCCAAGGCUAAAUACUCCUGACUGACCGAUAGUGAACCAGUACCGUGAGGGAAAGGCGAAAAGAACCCCGGCGAGGGGAGUGAAAAAGAACCUGAAACCGUGUACGUACAAGCAGUGGGAGCACCUUCGGGUGUGACUGCGUACCUUUUGUAUAAUGGGUCAGCGACUUAUAUUCUGUAGCAAGGUUAACCGUAUAGGGGAGCCGCAGGGAAACCGAGUCUUAACUGGGCGUUAAGUUGCAGGGUAUAGACCCGAAACCCGGUGAUCUAGCCAUGGGCAGGUUGAAGGUUGGGUAACACUAACUGGAGGACCGAACCGACUAAUGUUGAAAAAUUAGCGGAUGACCUGUGGCUGGGGGUGAAAGGCCAAUCAAACCGGGAGAUAGCUGGUUCUCCCCGAAAGCUAUUUAGGUAGCGCCUCGUGAACUCAUCUUCGGGGGUAGAGCACUGUUUCGGCUAGGGGGCCAUCCCGGCUUACCAACCCGAUGCAAACUACGAAUACCGAAGAAUGUUAUCACGGGAGACACACGGCGGGUGCUAACGUCCGUCGUGAAGAGGGAAACAACCCAGACCGCCAGCUAAGGUCCCAAAGUCAUGGUUAAGUGGGAAACGAUGUGGGAAGGCACAGACAGCCAGGAUGUUGGCUUAGAAGCAGCCAUCAUUUAAAGAAAGCGUAAUAGCUCACUGGUCGAGUCGGCCUGCGCGGAAGAUGUAACGGGGCUAAACCAUGCACCGAAGCUGCGGCAGCGACGCUUAUGCGUUGUUGGGUAGGGGAGCGUUCUGUAAGCCGUCGAAGGUGUGCUGUGAGGCAUGCUGGAGGUAUCAGAAGUGCGAAUGCUGACAUAAGUAACGAUAAAGCGGGUGAAAAGCCCGCUCGCCGGAAGACCAAGGGUUCCUGUCCAACGUUAAUCGGGGCAGGGUGAGUCGACCCCUAAGGCGAGGCCGAAAGGCGUAGUCGAUGGGAAACAGGUUAAUAUUCCUGUACUUGGUGUUACUGCGAAGGGGGGACGGAGAAGGCUAUGUCAGCCGGGCGACGGUUGUCCCGGUUUAAGCGUGUAGGUGUGUGUUCCAGGCAAAUCCGGUUCACUUUAACACUGAGGCGUGAUGACGAGGCACUACGGUGCUGAAGUGAUAAAUGCCCUGCUUCCAGGAAAAGCCUCUAAGCAUCAGGUAACACGAAAUCGUACCCCAAACCGACACAGGUGGUCAGGUAGAGAAUACCAAGGCGCUUGAGAGAACUCGGGUGAAGGAACUAGGCAAAAUGGUGCCGUAACUUCGGGAGAAGGCACGCUGAUAUGUAGGUGAAGUCCCUGCGGACGGAGCUGAAAUCAGUCGAAGAUACCAGCUGGCUGCAACUGUUUAUUAAAAACACAGCACUGUGCAAACACGAAAGUGGACGUAUACGGUGUGACGCCUGCCCGGUGCCGGAAGGUUAAUUGAUGGGGUUAGCGGCAACGCGAAGCUCUUGAUCGAAGCCCCGGUAAACGGCGGCCGUAACUAUAACGGUCCUAAGGUAGCGAAAUUCCUUGUCGGGUAAGUUCCGACCUGCACGAAUGGCGUAAUGAUGGCCAGGCUGUCUCCACCCGAGACUCAGUGAAAUUGAACUCGCUGUGAAGAUGCAGUGUACCCGCGGCAAGACGGAAAGACCCCGUGAACCUUUACUAUAGCUUGACACUGAACACUGGUCCUUGAUGUGUAGGAUAGGUGGGAGGCUUUGAAGCGUGGACGCCAGUCUGCGUGGAGCCGUCCUUGAAAUACCACCCUUUAAUGGCUGGUGUUCUAACGUGGACCCGUAAUCCGGGUUGCGGACAGUGUCUGGUGGGUAGUUUGACUGGGGCGGUCUCCUCCCAAAGAGUAACGGAGGAGCACGAAGGUUAGCUAAUCCUGGUCGGACAUCAGGAGGUUAGUGCAAUGGCAUAAGCUAGCUUGACUGCGAGAGUGACGGCUCGAGCAGGUGCGAAAGCAGGUCAUAGUGAUCCGGUGGUUCUGAAUGGAAGGGCCAUCGCUCAACGGAUAAAAGGUACUCCGGGGAUAACAGGCUGAUACCGCCCAAGAGUUCAUAUCGACGGCGGUGUUUGGCACCUCGAUGUCGGCUCAUCACAUCCUGGGGCUGAAGUAGGUCCCAAGGGUAUGGCUGUUCGCCAUUUAAAGUGGUACGCGAGCUGGGUUUAGAACGUCGUGAGACAGUUCGGUCCCUAUCUGCCGUGGGCGCUGGAGAAUUGAGGGGGGCUGCUCCUAGUACGAGAGGACCGGAGUGGACGCAUCACUGGUGUUCGGGUUGUCAUGCCAAUGGCACUGCCCGGUAGCUAAAUGCGGAAGAGAUAAGUGCUGAAAGCAUCUAAGCACGAAACUUGCCCCGAGAUGAGUUCUCCCUGAGACUUUAAGUCUCCUGAAGGAACGUUGAAGACGACGACGUUGAUAGGCCGGGUGUGUAAGCGCAGCGAUGCGUUGAGCUAACCGGUACUAAUGAACCGUGAGGCUUAACC